AAACCAACAGGGAUUGCCCUAGUAACGGCGAGUGAAGCGGCAACAGCUCAAAUUUGAAAGCUAGCCUUCGGGUUCGCAUUGUAAUUUGUAGAGGAUGAUUUGGGGAAGCCGCCUGUCUAAGUUCCUUGGAACAGGACGUCAUAGAGGGUGAGAAUCCCGUAUGUGACAGGAAAUGGCACCCUAUGUAAAUCUCCUUCGACGAGUCGAGUUGUUUGGGAAUGCAGCUCUAAAUGGGAGGUAAAUUUCUUCUAAAGCUAAAUAUUGGCGAGAGACCGAUAGCGCACAAGUAGAGUGAUCGAAAGAUGAAAAGCACUUUGGAAAGAGAGUUAAAAAGCACGUGAAAUUGUUGAAAGGGAAGCGCUUGCAAUCAGACUUGUUUAAACUGUUCGGCCGGUCUUCUGACCGGUUUACUCAGUUUGGACAGGCCAGCAUCAGUUUCGGCGGCCGGAUAAAGGCUCUGGGAAUGUGGCCUCCACUUCGGUGGAGGUGUUAUAGCCCAGGGUGUAAUACGGCCAGCCGGGACUGAGGUCCGCGCUUCGGCUAGGAUGCUGGCGUAAUGGUUGUAAGCGAC
Molecule: ribosomal RNA, 571 nt
Filed under: Aureobasidium pullulans
Lineage: Eukaryota; Fungi; Ascomycota; Dothideomycetes; Dothideales; Saccotheciaceae
Also listed under: 1 other name
Description: LSU rRNA
Rfam family: Eukaryotic large subunit ribosomal RNA
Source: RNAcentral